GAAAAUACUUUAAACUAUAUAGAUUAAGGUUAACAUUCUUGAUCUUGAAUUUAAAAGUCCUAUGCUCAAAUUUUAAAGAUUAUUCAAUUUCCACCGUCCAUUUUGAUAUAAUUUAUUUUCUAAGUAAACGAUAUCGAAAAAAACUAAAAUUUUAUUCCUAAGAAAUUCAUAUACCUUAGAUCAUAUUUAACAGUGUGGAUCGUUGAUUUGAACGCCCUAAGAUCGAAAACAAACACUAUAGUAUCGGAGCUCGGUACUAUAGAUAGUAUAGUAACCUCAUUCUAUAUAUAUAUAUAUAUAUAUUAUUGUCAUUAACUCGAAGAUCUUUAUUAAACU
RNAcentral lists this long non-coding RNA (336 nucleotides) under Ananas comosus (pineapple). RNAcentral describes it as "long non-coding RNA (ACOM_LNC025204)". The record is from RNAcentral. Lineage: Eukaryota; Viridiplantae; Streptophyta; Magnoliopsida; Poales; Bromeliaceae.